RNAcentral lists this long non-coding RNA (210 nucleotides) under Lathyrus oleraceus (garden pea). Its description in RNAcentral is "Pisum sativum (pea) long non-coding RNA (PSAT_LNC005409)". Lineage: Eukaryota; Viridiplantae; Streptophyta; Magnoliopsida; Fabales; Fabaceae. The record is from RNAcentral.
UAAGACCUAAGCAUCUAUGCUAAGAAGGAAGUUAAUGGAAUGCAGUAGUUUGAUGGAAAGCUAUUAAUGGAAAACAGUGGUUUGAAAUCUCUCUGAAGCCCUUAACUAAGAUGGAAGUUUAUAAAAGACAACAAAACAUUAAUGUUGUCUUUGUAAAGAAACAAAAAGGUCCCGUGGAGAAAUAUAUUUGGAAAAAGAGGUUGGUGUUCU